UUUAUUGGAGAGUUUGAUCCUGGCUCAGGAUGAACGCUGGCGGCGUGCCUAAUACAUGCAAGUCGAGCGAAUGGAUUAAGAGCUUGCUCUUAUGAAGUUAGCGGCGGACGGGUGAGUAACACGUGGGUAACCUGCCCAUAAGACUGGGAUA
Molecule: ribosomal RNA, 151 nt
Filed under: Bacillus anthracis (anthrax bacterium)
Lineage: Bacteria; Bacillati; Bacillota; Bacilli; Caryophanales; Bacillaceae
Also listed under: 4 other names
Description: partial 16S ribosomal RNA
Rfam family: Bacterial small subunit ribosomal RNA
Source: RNAcentral